GGGAAACUUGGACUAAUACCGUAUACGUCCUUCGGGAGAAAGAUUUAUCGGAGUUGGAUGAGCCCGCGUUGGAUUAGCUAGUUGGUGGGGUAAUGGCCUACCAAGGCGACGAUCCAUAGCUGGUCUGAGAGGAUGAUCAGCCACACUGGGACUGAGACACGGCCCAGACUCCUACGGGAGGCAGCAAUGGGGAAUAUUGGACAAUGGGCGAAAGCCUGAUCCAGCCAUGCCGCGUGAGUGAUGAAGGCCCUAGGGUUGUAAAGCUCUUUCAACGGUGAAGAUUAUGACGGUAACCGUAGAAGAAGCCCCGGCUAACUUCGUGCCAGCAGCCGCGGUAAUACUAAGGGGGCUAGCGUUGUUCGGAAUUACUGGGCGUAAAGCGCACGUAGGCGGACUAUUAAGUCAGGGGUGAAAUCCCGGGGCUCAACCCCGGAACUGCCUUUGAUACUGGUAGUCUAGAGUCCGAGAGAGGUGAGUGGAAUUCCGAGUGUAGAGGUGAAAUUCGUAGAUAUUCGGAGGAACACCAGUGGCGAAGGCGGCUCAGUGGCUCGGUACUGACGCUGA
This 564-nucleotide ribosomal RNA is filed under the name uncultured bacterium. RNAcentral describes it as "bacterial SSU rRNA". It matches the Rfam family "Bacterial small subunit ribosomal RNA", at positions 151 to 749 of the family's 1533-position model. The record is from RNAcentral.